AUGGAUCCUCCGCAGAUCGCCGGACGGGGAAGUGACGACCGCUUAAGCAAGCUCCGCGACGGCGUGCUCGGCCACAUCCUCUCCUUCCUCGACGCCAAGGAGGCCGGGCGCGCCGCUGCGCUCUCGUCGCGGUGGCGCCACGUCUUCGCCAGCGUCCACACCGUCUCGCUGGAGCAGCCGGAAGAGCCCGUACCCGAUUACGACUACGACGGCGGAUACCGGCUCCGUCGCUACGAUCCGAACCAGCCAACGCCCUUCACCGUUGUCGUCAACAAGGCACUAUUCGCCCGCUUCCGUCGGCCGGCCAUUGCCGCCCCAUCAGUGCCCCUGCGCGCGCUCCGCGUCACCAUGGAUGAUUACGGCCGCGGGGACGCCUCCACGGUGAACGAGUGGGUCGCUUGCGCCUUCAGUUUAGCCGCCCCCGAGCUCGAGAUCCAGCUUGACCUAGGCCAAGUCCCGGUCUGCAAGCGACCCGACCCCUUCCGUGCCGCCGCCGCCACCGCCAAUAGCGAAUGUGAUGAUCACUCUGCCGGGAAGCAGUCUCCCGUGCCCAAGGACGUCGACAUCGAUGACAAAGAUGUCGCCUCCGGCGAUGAUGAGAGGGAUCCUGCAGGGGAGCAGCCUCCCGUGCCCAAGGGCGUCGACACCGAUGACGAAGAAGAUGUCGCCUCCAGCGAUGACGAAGAUGUGGCCUCCAGCGAUGACGAGAAGGGUUCUAGAUCGCGGAGCUCGCCGUCCCCACGCGACUCGCAGUACACCGUCGUGAGGCAGCUCUUCUCCUUCGCGGCAUUGCGGUCACUCCGUCUUGGUAACUGCAGGCUCUGCCCGCCAGUGACCAUCAGCCUGCCGGCUCUCGAAGCGCUCAGCCUCACUCACGUCCCUGACGCAGAGGAGCACGUGCAGAAGCUCAUCUCCGCCUGCACAAGCCUCAAGGACCUGACUCUCGAGGCCUGCGGCACCGUCACCACGCUCUCCCUCCUCGACAACACAAGUCUCCAUAGGCUCGUCCUCCGAUGCUGCCACAAGCUUGCCAAUGUCACCAUCAACGCUAUGGAGCUCCACACGUUUGAGUACCGCGGUGCAGUUCCCGGCAACUCGUUCCUCACCGUGCCAGGCGGCGGCUUCCCAUCCAUCACGUCAUGCAAGAUCGCCAUCUGCACGGUCUGCCUCCUCGAGGAGGCCACGUCGGAGGAGCAGCUCGCCAUGCUCGGUUCGUUCCUACAGCCGUUCACGUCCACAAAACACCUUCACCUAUGCGCCGCCCGCAUGGGCUCCUGCUUCGUGGCGCUCGACUUGUUCCAGGCCCUCCGGCACCUCCAGCUAAAUGGGCGUGUGACAAACAGCGAUGUAGCCGCCGCCGCUGCGACCAGCACAAUCCUCCAGCGGGCCACGAACCUGGAGACGCUGACCCUGUUCUUCGAGACCGGGCCUCACGAACUCGAGACUCGCGUCAGCGGCCUGCGCUACUGCAGCAACCGCAGAAAAGGUGAGCUCCUGGACGCGCAUCACCUCCACUACAGCAAGUACGACACCCUCGACUUGGCGGGCGUGCCGAUCCCACGGUGCCUGGGGAGCAGCGUGAGAAGGAUCAACCUGCUGCAUUACCAAGGCGGCAGAGCGCAGAGGGCGCUCGCCAGGUACUUGCUCCGCAACGCUCUGGUGCUCGACAAGCUCUACUGCGAGUUGGAGGAGGGGCCACUGUGGAUCCAGGAGGAAUUGGUGCGGGAGAUGGAAGGCUGGGUGGUGAACGAGAGUGCCAGCACGGUGUUCCACUGA
This 1776-nucleotide ribosomal RNA is filed under the name Triticum aestivum (bread wheat). RNAcentral's name for it is "partial small subunit ribosomal RNA". Lineage: Eukaryota; Viridiplantae; Streptophyta; Magnoliopsida; Poales; Poaceae. The record is from RNAcentral.